CCUACGUGUGACAGCAGUGAGGAAUAUUGGUCAAUGGGCGCGAGCCUGAACCAGCCAAGUCGCGUGAGGGAAGACGGUCCUAUGGAUUGUACACCUCUUUUGUCGGGGAGCAAAAGACGCCACGCGUGGCGUUCCGAGAGUACCCGAAGAAAACGCAUCGGCUAACUCCGGGCCAGCAGCCGCGGUACUACGGAGGAUGCGAGCGUUAUCCGGAUUUAUUGGGUUUAAAGGGUGCGCAGGCGGAAGAUCAAGUCAGCGGUAAAAUUGAGAGGCUCAACCUCUUCGAGCCGUUGAACCUGGUUUUCUUGAGUGAGCGAGAAGGAUGCGGAAUGCGUGGUGUAGCGGUGAAAUGCAUAGAUAUCACGCAGAACUCCGAUUGCGAAGGCAGCAUACCGGCGCUCAACUGACGCUCAUGCACGAAAGUGUGGGUAUCGAACAGGAUUAGAUACCCCUGUAGUC
Molecule: ribosomal RNA, 459 nt
Filed under: uncultured bacterium
Lineage: Bacteria
Description: partial 16S ribosomal RNA
Rfam family: Bacterial small subunit ribosomal RNA
Source: RNAcentral